RNAcentral lists this ribosomal RNA (243 nucleotides) under uncultured bacterium. RNAcentral's name for it is "partial 16S ribosomal RNA". It matches the Rfam family "Bacterial small subunit ribosomal RNA", at positions 524 to 775 of the family's 1533-position model. The record is from RNAcentral.
UACGGAGGGUGCAAGCGUUAUCCGGAUUCACUGGGUUUAAAGGGUGCGUAGGCGGGCAGGUAAGUCAGUGGUGAAAUCCCCGAGCUUAACUCGGGAACUGCCAUUGAUACUAUCUGUCUUGAAUAUUGUGGAGGUAAGCGGAAUAUGUCAUGUAGCGUGAAUGCUAGAUAUGACAUAGAACACCUAUGCGAAGCAGCUACUACGCAUAUAUGACGCUGAGGCACGAAGCGUGGGACCAAACAG